Molecule: ribosomal RNA, 253 nt
Filed under: uncultured bacterium
Lineage: Bacteria
Description: partial 16S ribosomal RNA
Rfam family: Bacterial small subunit ribosomal RNA
Source: RNAcentral
UACGUAGGGGGCAAGCGUUGUCCGGAUUUAUUGGGCGUAAAGAGCGUGUAGGCGGCCUGAAAGGUCAGCUGUGAAAACUCGAGGCUCAACCUCGAGACGUCGGUUGAAACCAUCUGGCUAGAGUCCGGAAGAGGAGUGUGGAAUUCCCGGUGUAGCGGUGAAAUGCGCAGAUAUCGGGAAGAACACCCGUGGCGAAGGCGGCACCCUGGGACGGUACUGACGCUGAGACGCGAAAGCGUGGGGAGCGAACAGG